ACUUCUAUAGCCCAACGGUAGAGGCAGCGGAUUCAAGUCCCGUUAAGUGCAGGUUCGAAUCCUGCUAGAAGUA
RNAcentral lists this transfer RNA (73 nucleotides) under Corynebacterium sp. CNJ-954. RNAcentral describes it as "tRNA-Leu". It matches the Rfam family "tRNA". From Rfam's summary of the family: Transfer RNA (tRNA) molecules are approximately 80 nucleotides in length. RNAcentral also lists the same sequence under 1 other name. The record is from RNAcentral. Lineage: Bacteria; Bacillati; Actinomycetota; Actinomycetes; Mycobacteriales; Corynebacteriaceae.